GGUACCCUUGGUUUUAAAUUAACCUGCAAACAGAAAACUCAGUAAGUGAUACCCUAUUUCUAUAACUUUUAUGCAAGAAUGGAGUAUGUCUACAGAAGUUAUAAUUUCAUUUUAUGCAAGAAACAACCAUUUAAGCAAAAUAUUGAGAAUAACUACAUAGAAGAAACAUUCAUGAACAUUAGAGACCAAAAAUAACCUUCUUUAAUCUUAUAUGAGAAAUUUAAGAAUUCGAUGAAACUUAGGAAUGAUGAGAGUUAAUAGAUAAUUAUCAUGCAAAUCAAAAGUAAUAAUGCAAUUAACCAAUAACAUAAAUUGAAUAUUAUAAUGGAAAAUUGCUACUAAAAGUAAAAUUAACCCACAUAGCCAACUUCCCCAAUCUCUCAUUCCCCCAUCCCACUUUAUAAAAAUAAAUAAAAGUCAAAGAGAACUGAAAAGAAAAUGCAAACAGUUGGACAGGGGGCGUUUAAGGAGCUAAAUGAUCCUACUCAUCUUCAUCGGACAUAGGCUUCAACAAGUUUAAAAAAACACCAAAAAGAUGCUUAUCCUAGUAAGAUGAUAAAAGAUUAAGAAAAUUUACUGUCUAAUUGUCCAAAAAAGGGGAAAAAAAUCAAGAGAUAUAACAGGAAAACGAGGCAUCAACAGUUCAGGAAGCAUAAAC
Molecule: unclassified non-coding RNA, 658 nt
Filed under: Hevea brasiliensis (rubber tree)
Lineage: Eukaryota; Viridiplantae; Streptophyta; Magnoliopsida; Malpighiales; Euphorbiaceae
Source: RNAcentral